ACUUUAGAAGUAGAGUAAAGAUGGUGGAUUAGAGGCAGCAAAAGUUCAGACCUCCACAAACCCUUCUUUACCAAUCAAAAACACAAUGCUUUGAGGAGACUGAAAACCAAAUCUAACAACAGGACAGAGCCAGGGAACCCUCCUUCUGGAUCAAACUUAAAAGAACAAGAGGUCUUGGCCAUCAUCACUCUGACAGCUGGCAUGAAGAUCACCUCAACAGGAUAGGCAACUCUAACUAUGAGGUGCUUUAUGUUCCAGUAAACAACCUAUAGUUAUUACCAUUAUUAAAAAUACCAGUUGUUAAAGUAGCAGCAGAGAUGGAAACAGGUGGGUUGUGUGGGCUGAGAUGUCACUCUUCUGGAAUGUGCAGUGAA
Molecule: long non-coding RNA, 374 nt
Filed under: Monodelphis domestica (gray short-tailed opossum)
Lineage: Eukaryota; Metazoa; Chordata; Mammalia; Didelphimorphia; Didelphidae
Description: lncRNA (ENSMODG00000031637.2)
Source: RNAcentral